RNAcentral lists this ribosomal RNA (367 nucleotides) under uncultured bacterium. Its description in RNAcentral is "bacterial SSU rRNA". It matches the Rfam family "Bacterial small subunit ribosomal RNA", at positions 28 to 393 of the family's 1533-position model. The record is from RNAcentral.
GAUGAACGCUAGCGGCAGGCUUAAUACAUGCAAGUCGAGGGGCAGCAUAAGUAGCAAUACUUGAUGGCGACCGGCAAACGGGUGCGGAACACGUACGCAACCUUCCUUUAAGUGGGGAAUAGCCCGGGGAAACCCGGAUUAAUACCCCGUAAUAUUAUGAUGUGGCAUCACUUUAUAAUUAUAGAUUCAUCGCUUAAAGAUGGGCGUGCGCCUGAUUAGGUAGUUGGCGGGGUAACGGCCCACCAAGCCUGCGAUCAGUAACUGGUGUGAGAGCACGACCAGUCACACGGGCACUGAGACACGGGCCCGACUCCUACGGGAGGCAGCAGUAAGGAAUAUGGUCAAUGGACGCAAGUCUGAACCAGCC